GUUAGGUGAACCUGCGGAAGGAUCAUUAUUGAAAUAAACCUGAUGAGUUGUUGCUGGUUCUCUAGAGAGCAUUGUGCACGCUUGUCAUCUUUAUGUCUCCACCUGUGCACAUUUUGUAGACCUGGAUCACUCUCUGAAAUGCUAACCAGCAUUUGAGGUUGGAGGAAUUUGACUUUGUUGUCUUUCCUUGCAUUUCUAGGUCUAUGUUCUUUUUCAUAUAAUCCUAUUGUGAUAUAAUGGACCCUAUAUAAUAUAAACCUAUACAACUUUCAGCAACGGAUCUCUUGGCUCUCGCAUCGAUGAAGAACGCAGCGAAAUGCGAUAAGUAAUGUGAAUUGCAGAAUUCAGUGAAUCAUCGAAUCUUUGAACGCACCUUGCGCUCCUUGGUAUUCCGAGGAGCAUGCCUGUUUGAGUGUCAUUAAUAUAUCAACCUCUUUAAAUUUUGAGAGUGUUUGGAUGUGGGGGUGUUAUUUUGCUGGCCUUCUUAAGGUCAGCUCCCCUAAAAUGUAUUAGCGGAACAAUUUGUUGACCGUUCAUUGGUGUGAUAGCAUAUCUACGCUAUUGACGUGAAGCAAGUUCAGCUUAUAACAGUCCAUUGACUUGGACAAUUCUCUAUUUAUUAAUGUGACCUCAAAUCAGGUAGGACUACCCGCUGAACUUAA
RNAcentral lists this ribosomal RNA (662 nucleotides) under Cortinarius favrei. RNAcentral's name for it is "eukaryotic LSU rRNA". The stretch from base 265 to 418 matches the Rfam family "5.8S ribosomal RNA". Lineage: Eukaryota; Fungi; Basidiomycota; Agaricomycetes; Agaricales; Cortinariaceae. The record is from RNAcentral.